GAUGAACGCUGGCGGCGUGCCUAAUACAUGCAAGUCGAGCGAACGGACGAGAAGCUUGCUCCUCUGAUGUUAGCGGCGGACGGGUGAGUAACACGUGGAUAACCUACCUAUAAGACUGGGAUAACUUCGGGAAACCGGAGCUAAUACCGGAUAAUAUUUUGAACCGCAUGGUUCAAAAGUGAAAGACGGUCUUGCUGUCACUUAUAGUUGGAUCCGCGCUGCAUUAGCUAGUUGGUAAGGUAACGGCUUACCAAGGCAACGAUGCAUAGCCGACCUGAGAGGGGGGACGGCCACAACUGAAACUAGAAAAGGGCCCGAACCCCCAGGGAGGGCGACGGUGGGGAAUUUUCCGAAAUGGGGAAAGCCCGAAGGGGGAAAGGCCGGGGAAGGAAUAAAGGUUUUGGAACCGAAAAACCCUUUUAUAGGGAAAGAACAAUUUGGAAAGAAACGUGGAAAAUUUUGAGGGACCCAAACCGAAAAGCCCGGGUAAAUAACGG
This 497-nucleotide ribosomal RNA is filed under the name uncultured bacterium. RNAcentral's name for it is "partial 16S ribosomal RNA". It matches the Rfam family "Bacterial small subunit ribosomal RNA", at positions 28 to 506 of the family's 1533-position model. The record is from RNAcentral.